GGCAGAUCUAAUGCCAUGGUAUCUUUAUUUUGGAUCCUUAUUUUGUGUUGUACCUGUAUUUUGCUUUUACAUACUGUUAAUCCAUCCCUGAUUUUCUUCAAGGCAUUUGGUUGAGUCUACAUGGAAAACUUUUGAAAAUGUCAAAUUCUAGUUAAAUCUUAUGCGAGUAGGCUUGUGGGACUAUGGAAAUGAGUUACUACCUAGUGGAUGCCAAAUUCUUGUGAUGACAUGUAGCUUUUGUCUCAGGCCCUACAAAGAAGAAGAAGCUC
Molecule: unclassified non-coding RNA, 269 nt
Filed under: Hevea brasiliensis (rubber tree)
Lineage: Eukaryota; Viridiplantae; Streptophyta; Magnoliopsida; Malpighiales; Euphorbiaceae
Source: RNAcentral